Molecule: long non-coding RNA, 7830 nt
Organism: Orcinus orca (killer whale)
Lineage: Eukaryota; Metazoa; Chordata; Mammalia; Artiodactyla; Delphinidae
Exons: 3
Source: RefSeq, a predicted model, not a curated record
AGGCCCUUGUGUCAGGGUCUGCAUGUCUCUUUCAAGCAUUUGAACCAUUUAACCUAUCAAUUUGGCUUCACUUAAUUUGUCUCUACUAAGUGUAUGAUGGAAGUACUAUGGUAAAGAAACAUUUUUAGGGGAUUUCAAUAUUUGAAAAUUAUGAAUUGCUGUGUUUUUAUUUUAUUUGCUGUGACAACCUAUCAAUCAAAAUGUUUAUUGAGGGACUUCCCUGGUGGCGCAAUGGUUAGGAAUCCACCUGCCAAUGCAGGGGACACGGGUUUGAGCCCUGGUCCAGGAAGAUCCCACAUGCCGCGGAGCAACUAAGCCCGUGCACCACAACUACUGAGCCUGCGCUCUAAAGCCCACGAGCCACAACUACUGAAGCCUGUAUGCCUACAGCCCGUGCUCCACCACAAGAGAAGCCACCGCAGUGAGAAGCCCGCGCACCGCAACAAAGAGUAGCCCCCACUCGCCACAACUAGAGAAAGCCCGCGCGCAGCAACGAAGACCCAACACAGCCAAAAAUAAAACUAAUUAAUUAAAAUAAAUAAAUAAUGUUUAUUGAGUGCCAUAUGCUGUUGUGAAAUCUACAUCAUACUGUGGAAUGGCAAUGAUCACUUAGCUAUCAUUAGAUUCUUUUUUUCUGUGAUGUAUGCAAAGCCCCACCCCUGCUUCGAGUUUAGAGCAGUGUUGAGCACACUGUAAGCAAUUUUGAUAGGGGAGUGUCUUACAGUAUGGAGAAAUAAUCUUACUUUACAGAGAUUAAUACGAGAAGCUGAAUUUCCAAUUCAGGAUAGUGAAUAAACAUGGAAUUGGCACAAAGGGAAAUAGUUUCAAAUAGAAGACUUCAAAUGUGGUGAAGUAGAAGAGCUGUUACCUGAAGAAGGUCAGAUGAUUGUCUGUCAAGUAGCCUCACAAGCCCACGUGCAGUGAUCUCCGUUCCCAUCCUGAUUGAUCUGUGUAUCUUCAUCCACCAGUUUAAGAGAGGUAUGAAUGUAGGGUGGUUUUGUCAAUUUCUCUUGUAAUACUGUAAAUUUUGUUUUACACAUUUUGUGGCUGUUAAGUACAUACAAACUUAAAAUUAUUAUAUUUUGUAGGCAAAAAUUUCACUUAACCAUUAUAUAGUAUCUAUCUCUAAAAAUUCCUUUUUUCUUAAAGCCUAUUUUGUUUGCUAUUAACCUAGCUACAACAACCUUCUUUGGAUUAAUAUUUACUUGGUAUAUCUUUUUCAUCAUAUUGGUUUAAAUAUUCAUGUCUUUAAAUUAUGUCUGUUGGAAUCAGCAUAUAAUUGGAUUUGGUCUUUUUGUCUAAUUUGACAAUCGCAGUCUUUUAACAGGUUAAACUGUAUACAUUCCAUCUGAUUGUUGGCAUAUUUGCAUUUAUUUCUACAUAUUAUUUUAUGCCUUUUAUUUACCAUUCAUUUUUCUUUCCUUUUCUUCCUUUCCUCCCACCCCCUUUCCUUUCCUGCCUUUUUCACUUGACUGAACUUUUUCCCCAAUUCUCCACCAAAUCUGGUUUGGAAGUGAUGCCUUCUAUAUACAUAAUACUGUAUAUGCAUAUAUAUACUUGUGUGUGUGCGCAUAUGUGUGUAGGCAUAUAAAUGCAUGUGUGUGUAUGUAUAUAAAAUCCUUGAAAAGCCUACUUUUACUUAAAGUUAUCAUCAUGUAGCCUUUUAGUUCCAUCUUGAUUUUUAGUCUUAAUCUACAAAGUAUUUUUAAGAUUUACACACGUUUACCAUUUCCUGGCAUAAAACUAUCUCUUGCAUCUUAUUUUUUCCUUCUGAGUUCAAUCACUUCUUUCUGAAGUACACAUUUUAGAAGUUUUUCAAUGAGACUGCUAAUAGUAAAGGCUUUGAUUCUUUGUGUGUCUGGAAAUGUCUAUUUCAUCCUUACUAUUGAAUAAAAAUUUGGUUGGGAAUAGAAUCCUGAAUUAUCUGGUAUUUUUUCUCAGCAUGUUGAAAUUAUAUUCCAUUAUCAGUUCAUUUCUUCUGUUAAGAAGUCUGAUAAAAGUCUAUUUAUCAUUCCCCUAUCAGGUUUUUUUUUUUUUUUUUUUUUCCGUUACGCGGGCCUCACACUGUUGUGGCCUCUCCCGCUGCGGAGCACAGGCUCCGGACGCACAGGCUCAGCGGCCAUGGCUCACGGGCCCAGCCGCUCCGCGGCAUGUGGGAUCCUCCCGGACCGGGGCACGAACCCGUGUCCCCUGCAUCGGCAGGCGGACUCUCAACCACUGCGCCACGAGGGAAGCCCCCCCAUCAGGUUUUUAAUAUCUGCUUGCUUUUAUGAUUUCCCUUUAUCUAGAAUUAAUUUAUAUUUAUUUACUCAGUUCAACACUCACCAUGCUUUCUGAAUGUGAGAAUUUAUAACAUUUAUCCAUUCUGGAAAAGCCUUAGCCACUAUGUCUUCAAAUUUUACCCCUCCCUCAUUCUCUCUUAUAUUUCUGCAAAUCCUAGGAUGAGUUUUUGCAUUCUAUAUUCUGUGUCUCUUAAACUCUCAUAUUUUUAAAUCUUUUUCUCUCCGUUGAAUUCUGAGUAGUUUUUUAUAGUCUUGUUAUUUUAAUGUUUUAAAUUAUUUAUUUUAUGUCUGUAAUCAAUUUAAAUCUAUUUAUUUAAUAGUAUCUUAGAGUGUUCCAUUAUUUUAAUUUUGCUGUUUAAUUCUGUUGCUUGUUGUGUUUGCUGACUCCCAAAGGUGAUAGAUUCCUUAAAUAUUUUGUGAUUGUGAAUUGUGUGAAAUCAUUUUCAGUAGGGCUCUAUCUAUGUGAAUUUUAUGUAUCUUGAGUUGAGGGUGUAUUUCUCCAUAGAGUUUAUAUUUCCCCUGCCAGAGAGUCCAGGGAUUUAAAGGCUUGGGGGCAAUUUGUAUGUUAAUUUUACGGUUUGGGGUUCUGAUAGUAUACAAACCCCAAUUUCUAGUUAUGUGUGAUGUAGACUAAUGGUUAUUAAUAUAUGGGAUAGACCUUCACCCCCAGUUGAGCUAAACAGGUUAUCUGCUGGUUAGUGGAGUUUUUAGUCCACCCAGAUUUUCCAGCUAGUUUUAUUAUCUUUUUUUUCUCCUUUAAUCCAAACUCCCACACUGACUGUUUCUGCCUGGAGGCAGAGACCCUUAUUCACAUUGCCAGCCCAAGAACAAUGAUGGGUCUGGAUGGCCCAUUGCAGUAUCCCAAUUGGUCAAUCACCGUGUAUCAAUAGCUUGACCCUUCUUCCAAUACUUCCAAACAUGAGGAUGCUGUUUAAUUCCAGAGUAGUAGCCUCCUGGCCAUGUUCUAGCCUGUGGCUCCCUUCUCCCAUUCAAUGAUCACACAACACCUAAGAUUAGUGUCUGACUGAAUAAAUGGGGACUGUAGCCUGGCCAAGUUGACACAUAAAACUGAACAUCACAACUAUUUCCACGGGAGAGCUUGUAGGACAUUACAUUACCAAAGCAAUUCAGUAUACACUGGUAAGCAGGCAGUAGCAUCACUGGGAAACUUAGUGAUGUCUCUCUUCUAAAGGGGAGGCUUAAUGAGAGGAGAUGGCUUCACAGAACUGGAUUCUCUGAGAGCAAUGAAGAUGACAGGAUCUAAAAUAAUAGAGUUUAAGUGGUGAUGCUGAACAAAUCAAAAGCAGGGUGGUUGCAAGUAUAGAAGAGUGGCAAGAUCAGGGUGGCGUCCAAGGGCCUGCACCCACAAAGAGCAAUGGAGAUGGUUAAUACAACAGGGCAUUCCAGGGCCAAUAUCAAUGGAAAGUCAACAAAGAUAUGCUUAAUUUACAGAAAAGAAAUUAAAGGUGAAUAAUUAUGAGGCUGAGGGGAACCACUCCAAUAAAAAUUACAAUCCCUUUGCCAGUUUCCAGACCUGAGCCAGUUUUUUGACUUCUAACCCACUGCCUAUAUGGGAGGACAGGUCUCCAGGAGGAAGCACCCUGCAACAAGAUGGCAAGACUACGUAGAGUGAUUCCUCCUCAUUCUUCCCCAAUAGUCACGUCCUACUUAGGAAACCAUACACUGAGGCAAGGGAAUGCCCAAACCUCCCAAGGGCUGUUUUAUACAGGAUCCACGUUGACCUUGAUAUCUAGGGAUUUGAAGUCAUCAUGACUCUCCUGUGAGAACAGGGGCACAUAGUAAUCAGGUAAUAUAUGUGCUGGCUCAAAUCUGACCCGCAGUGAGUCCAGUGGUUCCAUGGACCAACUAAUGAUCAUUUUACUGGUCCCCAAAUGUGUGAUGUGCAUGGCCAUGCUUGGUAGUUCCUUGGUCUAUGGGGUAAAAUCUAUUAUAGUGCAGAAGGACAAGUGGAAAGCUCUGAACUUACCACCUUUUCCGCCUCAGCCACAAUAUAGCAUCCCAGGAAAAAUGGCAGAAACUGAUCUGACCCUGAAAACGUAAUGGAUGCAGGCGGGUGGUCUUCGUUCUACCUCCAUUCAUUUCACCGGUCUGGCCCUUACGAUAACUAGAUGGGUCCUGCAGGAUAACAGUUGAUGUCCACAAACCAAACCAUGUAGUAGCCCAAAUUGCAGCUGCUGUGUCAGAUGUGGUACCUUUGCUAGAGCAAAUUAACACUCCCUCAAAUAUGUGGUACAUGGCCAUUGAUUUGGUAAAUGUGUUCUUUUCCUUCCUUAUCAGAAAGAAGAAUUAGAAACAGUUCACACUUUGAAUGAACAGUAUAGUACAGUGGUGCCCGAAGGCUGUGUUGACCUCUCACCCUCUGUUAUAAUACAACUCAAAGAGGCUUGGACCAUCUAGACAUCCUUCAGAACAUCACACUGAUUCACUCCACUGCUGACAUCAGCUAAUUGGACUUGAUGGUCAAUAAGUGGCAAGUAUGUUGAAAAUCGUGACGAGAAAAAUUUCCUUCAAAAGAUGGGAGAUAAACACUACAGUGAUUCAGGGGCUGGCCUUGUCAGAGACAUUUGGAGGAGUCCAGUGGUCUGGUGCAUGCUGAAACAGCUUAAUAGUUGUACCAAAUUCAAAACAAAGGACAAAUUAUUGCAUCUCACAGCUCCCAUCACAAAGAAGGAAGCCUAAUACCAAGUAGUCCUGAUUGGGUUUGGAGGGAUCGUAUUUCACGUCUGGCAAUGCUGCUCCUGUCUGUAUAUUAGGUGACCCCCAAAUACCUCCAGUUUUGAGUGGGAUCUGCAGUAGGUCCAGGCUGCAGAACAAGUGGGCCUUGCCAUUUGGACCACAUGCUCCAGAAGACCCUGUAAUAUUGGAGGAAGCUGUGGUGGGAAUUGCCCUUGACUGAAGAGAGCCCUUGCCCUGACUGAAGAUGCCUGGCUCCCUUGCAUCAACUCAAGACAAUUCUGAAGAGCCACCCUAGUUUCAAAGCUUCCCCUAGAGUCAGCUGAGGCCUUAGAUGACACUGAAUGGAAGCACUCCUUUGUCCUCUGCCUAGUCCUGUUUCCUUUUUUCCCUCCACAGAUGUUGAUCCUGAGAGCACUCCCUAAUAACUCCCUACAUGCUAACCUCCAUUUCAGAGUCAGCUUCUCGGGGAAACUUGAAGCAGGAGUAGAUGCUAGCUGCUGCCUAGAAGAACCAGAUCUGCCACUGUCCUUGCCAGAAGAUCUGAUAUCUGUGUGUAUGGCCACCACCUCACACUGCUUACUUCUACAUCCAAAUCUCAGUCUUUAGGUUCCUUCCUGAACACUGUAUCAAGACAUUUCUGGCAUCUCAACCUCAUUUCAUGUACACCACCUCUGAGUCCAGGUUUCAGAAAAGCAAGUGAACAAACAAGGCCGCCACCUCAUUAAGCCAAAAUCACUGGUAAGUGCAGCCAUGUUGAUUAAUUCAACCUGACCUGUAAUUAUUUUCCUCCCUCUCUGAUCUAGAAACCUUAGAUGCCAUUCCCCCAUAUACUAUCUAUGUUCUUGACGAUCUAAAUUAGGAAACUAUUACAAUCGUGUUUGUCUUUUCUUCUUAAGCUUCAUAAACUCAGGAAUGCUGGAAUAUGACUGUAGUUCCUUGUCUGGAGGCAAUGAAUGGUGGAAAGGGAAGAGGAUAAGGAGAAUUAGCAUCUACUGCAAGUUAUUUACCUGUGGUGAGAUUAUUACAGACUCUUAAAGAAAGAUAGUCACAACUUCAACAUAUAGGAGAGCCCAGGCUGCUGCUGGGGUAGCUCAGCGGGACUUGGCACUUGAGAUGCUCAUUGUAGUGAAAUCCUCCCAAACAUCCCCUUUCCAGUUACGGGUGGAGGCGGCAGGGUACCAAGCAAUCGAAAAUUUCACAUCCGGGAACUAAUAUGAAUGUAAAUUCACUUAUGUCAUAAUUCAGAGACUCAUAAGAUCAGACUCUACCUCUCAUUUUUGGUUAUGUUGCACGAAAAGAUGUGGCUGUCAAGAGAUCAAAUGUCUUCAGGGCAAUUGCAGUAACUUCUUGGUCUCUGACCAUGCCUGCAGCCAAGGACUUAAAACCUUGAUGUUCUCUUUUUCUUUCUUUAAGCACUCCAGUACAAUUAGAAUUAGUCAAUCUACCACAUAGACUUUCUUUUUUUUGGCCAUGCAGUGUGGCAUGUGGAAUCUUAGUUCCCCUAAGGAUCGAACCCGUGCCCCCUGCAGUGGAAGCAUGGAGUCUUAACCACUGGAUCACCGGGGAAGCCCGGGACUUUAUAUUUCCUAUGUCCCUCUAUUCUGUUCUAUUUUAGCAGCAUUCUAGUGCAUCCGGUGACUACAUGUAAAUGUUUAGGCAACUUUCACUACUGAGCCCCAUCCUCUGAUCAUAAUCAGAUCCCGUGUCUUCAAAUCCAACCAAGUCAGACAACCAAUCUCAGAUUUCUACUCCCCUCGCCUGGAAAGCCACCUCUGUUACCAAUUACUUUAUCCAUCAGAAUUCACUCUAAUCAGUUUAAGAAGAUACUAGGUAGUUUAAAGAAUCUUCAGGAGGGCCAGAGAACCAGGCUUGGAUGAUUGCUACAUAGAGAGGAACACAGCAGCCUUGAGAAAUGCGUAAGUCCUACAUAGACAUGUUUUGAAGAAAACACUCCUGGUAUUACCUUCUGUCAUUUGGAACCUGUAACCAUAGGAACUGUACUCCAGAAACUCUACCACAGCUGCCCUGGAAGAAUUGGAUGUUUCUGCUUUCCAGAAGAUCUGAUCUCCCCCUUCAUGUCCACCGCUCACAUUGUUCACUUCCACCCUUGAGUUCUGAGUGGUCAUGUCUGCUUGGCAGAAGCUAGAUCUCGUGAGGACACCUGAGCUGCAAGGGAGUCUGGGAAAUGUGGAGUUCAGCUUCUGGACUCUAUAGUACAAGAAGUCAAGCUACAAGGAUGUUAUAUAAACGCUUACGUGCUCAACUUAUUGUUCAUACUUGUUAAAGCAGCUGUCAAACCUCUGACCCUUUUCUCCAUUUGAUUAAACUCAGCAGAUAGUAUAGGCAGGGCAGGUGAGAGUCAAGGUGGCUGAACUAGCUGUGGGUCAUUUCUUCUUAAAUAUUAGGAAUCUUAAAGGAAGAGUGGAGCUAUCAACAAGGCACUAGAAUUAAGAUAUAAAAUAGAAAGCAGAUAUAUCAAGCAUUACAGCAAGGAAGGAAAAGAAGUCAAUGUUUACAAAACAAAGAACGAAUGGCAUUUUUUCCCAAUCUUCUAAGGUAUGACAAUGGUACAACCAAGAAUAACAAAGAAUGGGAACUAGAAAAAAAUGAAUGAGUUUCUUUUAAUUUUCAUUCAUAUAUAAAUCCUCUGUUCUUAGAUUUUUUUUUUUUUUUUUUUUUUUUUUUUUUGCGGUACGCGGGCCUCUCACUGUUGUGGCCUCUCCCGUUGCGGAGCACAGGCUCCGGACGCGCAGGCUCAGCGGCCAUGGCUCACGGGUCCAGCUGCUCUGUGGCAUGUGGGAUCUUCCCGGACCGGGGCACGAACCCGUGUCCCCCGCAUCGGCAGCGGAGU